UUCUCAUUUUUCCUCAUUAAACUGAAUUCAGUUGUUCCUUUUUUUCUAUAUUUCUUCCCUGUUCCUCGUUCUCCAUCCUAUCCCUAUAUCGCUGUUAUCACAAAGCUCCCAAACCCAGUACGAAGCCUUAAUAUAGCUCCUCCCAAACUCAGCCGGUGUGUGAAGCCCGAAUCUUCAGCUCAAAAUCUGAGAAGCUUAAACCCACUGGUGAGGAGGUCCAGCACUGUUUCUGUGGAGGUGGAGAACUGUUUUUGUGGAGCUCUGCUUCCGAAGUUCUUGUGCCUCAUCCCAUCCAAUGUCUCCUUCGUCGUGAAAUACAAAUGUUGCUUGUGUUCGUCAUAUUGGUUGUCAUGGAGGUAAAAACAUUGUAUGUAAAGAACCUUCCAGGAAACAUUACUCAGGAUCGUCUCAAGGAGUUGCUUGAACAUUAUGGAAAAAUCACAAAAGUGAUUGCCCCUUCUUCUAAAGCUGGCCAAGAAAAGAGCAAAUACGGUUUGUGCACU
Vigna unguiculata (cowpea) is the source of this 503-nucleotide long non-coding RNA. Lineage: Eukaryota; Viridiplantae; Streptophyta; Magnoliopsida; Fabales; Fabaceae. The record is from RefSeq and is a predicted model, not a curated record.